Molecule: long non-coding RNA, 787 nt
Organism: Zea mays
Lineage: Eukaryota; Viridiplantae; Streptophyta; Magnoliopsida; Poales; Poaceae
Exons: 3
Source: RefSeq, a predicted model, not a curated record
GUUCCUGCUGUAGGAAGUAUCAGUUUGGAUCCAUUUAAGUCUGCACACACUAUAAUUCUUAUCUGUUGGUUUACUGUCUACAGAAAUGGACAAAUCAGAUAUUUGACUGUUGGAAUGGCCCAAGUUCAGUGUUCCUGGCUAUACCUAUGAGCCUGUGUUGGACUGGUGCAUGGAAGCCAUGUUGGUCAGCCCAUAUACUGCUGGCACCUCAAGAAUACUUCCUCACUGCAUGUGGAGCAGAUCAGGGACACCUGCCCUUGGUUAGAGGCUAUAAAAGUCAAGGUUAAUUCUCUCCCCAGCCCUAGGUUUGUCGUAACCCAGAGCCUGGCACGCCAGCACCUAGACGUGGUGACCAAAGCCGCCCGAGUGCUCACCUCACCGUGGCCAGAAUUCCCAGAAGAAGAAGAAGAUGAAAUUCAAGAAGUGAUUUCUGAAGAGGAGUCUGCUUCAGUGCCUGAUCAUCAAGUGAUGGGAGCCAUCUAACUGGGGUUUAAUAGAGGGAUCUAGAACUCCGUCUCUGCAACAAAGGCAAGCUCCAGUGCAUGCAACCCCUUCCUUGUGUUUUUAAAUGAUUUUUACACACUUUAAGUCUAGUGAUAUGUGCAUUAGGUUUAUAGGAGUUGUUUGGAAACCCUUUGAUGCAUUGACUACCUUGAUAUCCAUUCCUGUUAUAGGUACUUCUUUGGAAGUAUCAAAUAUUGUUUACAAAAAUACUUAGCCCUGAUUAGAUCUUGUGGAUAGAGGUUGUCUUUUGCAUUAAUGCCUAGCUCAGGGGGUAUCCUGAGGA